Molecule: long non-coding RNA, 1745 nt
Filed under: Ornithorhynchus anatinus (platypus)
Lineage: Eukaryota; Metazoa; Chordata; Mammalia; Monotremata; Ornithorhynchidae
Description: lncRNA (ENSOANG00000041608.1)
Source: RNAcentral
UAUUAGGUCAUGGGUUCGAAUCCCGGCUCGGCCACUUGUCAGCUGGGUGACUGUGGGCCAGUCACUUCACUUCUCGGUGCCCGUUACCUCAUCUGUAAAAUCGAUUAGAUCGAUUACAUCGAUUAGACUGUAAGCCAGUGACCUCAUCUGUAAAAUGGGGAUGAAGACCGGGAGCCCCACGUGGGACACCCUGAUUCCCGUGUCUCCCCCAGCGCUUAGAACAGUGCUCGGCACAGACUAAGCGCUUAACAAAUACCAACAUUAUUAUUAUUAAGCCCGUCAAACGGCAGGGACCGUCUCUAUCUGUGGCCGACUUGUUCAUUCCAAGCGCUUAGUCCAGUGCUCUGCACGUAGUCAGCGCUCAAUAAAGACGAUUGAAAUACUAUGGAAUGAGUAAAAAUGGGGAUGAGGCCUGGGAGCCCCACGUGGGACAACCUGAUGGCCCUGUGUCUCCCCCAGCGCUUAGAACAGUGCUCGGCACAGAGGAAGCGCUUAACAAACACCAACAUGAUUAUUAUUUUUAUUUAUUAUUAUUAAGCGCUGAACAUUGGAGCGAGGGAGUGAAAGGCCGUGAUGGCGGCCCUGAGGCGAGGGGGACACCGGAAGUCCCGCCCUCCGGGCCGAAGAGGCUGCCGGGUAGCGGUUUAAUGCCCGGCCCCCUCAGCCCUGCCUCCUUUUCUCUUUGCGCCUUCGGGCCGCCGCACGGGUCGCGCUCCGCUCCGCCAUUUCCUCCCGCUCCGCCGUCCCGCCCGCUCCGCCAUCCCCACACAAGUGAGUACGAGGCGCCCACCGGGCCCGGACGCUCUGGGCCCCCGUCCGACCCCGCCCGACCCCAACCCGGGGAAGGAGGGCCACAAAAUGGCGGCCGACGGCAGGACUGGCCCCAGGCCCGCCUGGCGGAUGCGUUACGUCGCCGCCUACCUCCUGGCCGUCCUCGGGGGCAACGACUCCCCGGCCCUGAAGGACCUCAAGAAGAUCCUGGACAGCGUGGGCAUCGAGACGGACGACGAACGCCUGAAGAAGGGGACCGGGGGAGUUCGAGGCUGAAGGAAUAGUAAGAGGUCCUAGCGACAAGAAGCGGUCAAGGCAGGGGGCGAGUAGGUAGGUUUGAGGGCAAUAAGGGUGUGAGCUGGGGUGGAAUGGGAGGGGAGAGUGGAGGUAAAAAGUUGAAGGAUUCGCCUCCCUGGCCCAAUCCUUCAGGUUUUGAAGGGAAGGGCAGUCUCCUAUCCCCGGUGUCCUCUGGCAUUAAUAAUGACGACGAUAAUGCUGGUAUCUGUUACGCGCUUACUAUGUGCCGAGCACCGUUCUAAGCGCCGGGGGAGAUACAGGGUCACCACGUUGUCCCACGUGAGGCUCGCCGUCUUCAUCCCCAUUCUGCAGAUGAGGAAACUGAGGCCCAGAGAAGUGAAGCGACUCGCCCACAGUCACACGGCUGCCAAGUGGCAGAGCCGGGAUUCGACCCAUGCCCCCCGGCUCCCGAGCCCGAGCUCUUUCCACUGAGCCACGCUGCAUUCAUUCAGUCCUGCUUUUGAGCGCUUACUGGGUGCAAAGCCUUGUCCCGAACACCGAGCCAGGCACUGUACUAAGAACUGGGGAUGGUCCGAGAAAAUGGGUUCGAAUCCCAGCUCUGCCGCUCGUCAGCCGUGUGACUGUGGGCGAGUCACUUCACUUCUCUGUGCCUCGGUGACCUCAUCUGGAAAAUGGGGAUGAAGACCGGGAGCCCCACGUGGGACGACCCGAUUCCC